This 1144-nucleotide long non-coding RNA is filed under the name Gallus gallus (chicken). The record is from RNAcentral. Lineage: Eukaryota; Metazoa; Chordata; Aves; Galliformes; Phasianidae.
GGAUGGAAUGGUUGUGUUAGUUUAAAGGAACCUCAAAGUUUGUUUUGUUCUCUAUUUGCAGGGCACAAUGCCUAUGUUAUAUAGGCAAGCUGAAGCUGGAGUGGAAAAGGAAAGUUCCUACUGCAAAAGCAGCAAAGUUGGAAUGUGCUGUGAAGACUCAAGAUUGCUUUUCAGCUCUGUAGGUGUGGAUGGACUUUCUAAUGGGAAAGAAUGGAUGUAGAAGGGGGAAAUCACUAAAAUGGUGGUCAAAGUUUCUGGAAGUGGCCAUGAAAGCUAUGCUACAGUUCCAUCCACUACUGAGAAUCUGGCAUGUGAAUACACAGGAGUUCCUGAAAUUCAAGACUUCUGGAAGAAUCCUGAACUGAGACCUUAAAGUCACUGGUAAGUUUGAUGAACCACAGACCAUUGCUUGAGCCUAUUUGCCAUUUUAUACUUUGGUAAAAAAGAGUCUGGAGGACAAAGCAGCUUUUCAGGGUGAAAUCUGUCAAGUCCAAAGCAGAUCUCCUCUUAGCUAUGUGGGGGAAAGCCUCACUCUAAGGCUUCAGGUUGCCUGCUUUUAGCUCAGAUCUCUGCCUCCCCUCCCAUUCCAGCUCAUCUCUGCUGUGAUGCUGUGACACGUAAUAUCACUCCUGGUAACCUUAUUAGCAGAGCCAAUUGUCUGAAGACAUUUGUAUGGGAGGCUGCUUGCCAUUCACUGUAUGAGCUAUGGCCCUAUUGUUUGUGACAGCACUAGGUGACCUAAUUCACUCCAGUGGGCCCAUCAUGCACAUACUCACAGGGUGAUUUUCCCCUCUGACAAGUCAUUGUCAGCAUUCUUCCCCCAGUACUCUGCUAGUCCUAGCCUCACAUUCACACAAACACACAACUACACAUAGACAGGGCCCUUCCUGAGAGCUGGUCUAGAUAAUGCAUAUUUACACAGGCACAGUGAGCACACAACAUGAGCUUAAAGCUACUUGGACUGGCUUUAAGCUUUUAACAUAACAAAAUGUAGUGUUGAGAGUUUAGCAUUGGCUAAGUCUGUUAUUUUAGCUUCUCCAACCAACAAUAAAGUGAGAAGCAAAAAUUUUGCUGAUAUUGAGGUGUUGAUUGCACUGUUAUGCCACAGUGAUGAGCCUAAGGACCCUAUUUUGUAAUGAUUUUG